UGCACACGAAAUGUGAAAAAAAGUAACGUUCAAUUUUUAAUUCAUGAAUUUUAUCUUUUGUUUUCCAUGUCUCAACGUAUUUGGUAGAUGGGGGGAAAGUACUGUAUGAAAGGCAAGAGACACUAGUGAUCUGGGCAUGAUUUAGGUAUGUAACUGAGAGAGCAGAUGCAUUGCAUGGCUAGACAUGAACCUGUUAGGAGCACUUCUGCAAAGGUGGGAAGGACUAAUUAAUCAUUAACACAGGGGAAGCUUCCUGAUGUUUCCCAGUCACAAAAACCAGAACCAGAACAACUGUCAGCUGUUCCUUAAAGUCCUGUGGUGGUAUUUUCUGUAUAUACUCUAAGCUCACUUCCUCUUAGCAAGAAGCAUAAUUCAGAACACAGGAUUCUUUCCAGGUAGGCUCUUAGCCUUUCUCUUGAUUCCCAAUAAAGCCUACAGAUUCAUUUAAAAUAUGUGUGUGUGUACAUAUUGCUAUCUUGUCAUAAAUGGUCUACUGAUGAACAUGUAAAUCUAUGGGUCCACUGUGAUAUGUAUUUGUUUUGUUUUUGUUUUUGAAGAAGCUGUCUCACUACGUAGCCCUAACUGGCCUAGGACUGUGUAGAUCAGGGUAGGCUUGAACUCACAGAUCUGCCAGACUCUGCCUCCCUAGUGCUAGGGUUAAGGUGUGUACUGUAACUAGAGCUGUUUUUAGUUCUAAAUAUCUUACUCCCUAUUCACAGUGUACACUGCCCAUGUUUCUCCCAUCCGUGGGAGAAGGUACAGAGACCACUAGAAACUACCUUUCCCAAGACUUCAGUGUUCCCAGCACCCUGCCUCCACUGCUCUGUGUUCCUGCACUCAGCCACACAGCUAUGCAGGCACAGUUCAUGCUGAGCUCCCCUUGGAGAAAAGCUGUAAAACAUAUGAUCUUUUCCAGGUGUUAGAAGAGAUAAUUCCUAACAAAUGAUUCAAAAACAGUAAGGCUGAAGCCACAUGGCCAUUCUUACAUAAUGUAGAGUAUUUGUACUUGUGGGCAAUAAAGAAAUGGAAUUAUAUAUGAAUGUAAUUAUUUGUAAAUUUAUUUUGCAGUGCUCAGGAUCUGAGCCUUGUGCAUUCUAGGCAAGUGCUCUACCACCAAGCUAUACAUACCUCUAGCUCUAGAACCUUAAAAAGAAUUAUUAUUAAAGUGAUACAAACAUAUACCCAAAUUGUGUUUUUUCAGUAUGGGGCUAUGGUUCUGUUCUCAUGUCCUGAUGUCUAACCUCUGGUUCUCACUGCACUCCAUUCAGACUGAAAGCUCAGCGAUGAAGAACAAAGAACACAGAUGCUUGCAGACUCCGCCUCUAGACUGUCUCUCUCUCCAGAGCAUGCGAAGAAGGGUCCCAUGCCAUCCCUAAUGCAUCAUGGAGGAGAAAGCUGCAAACCAUGAUGCACAGGACCUACCUGGAAAGUACCGCUCUGGAACUUUGGAAAUGUAGAAGAGGAAAGCAAGAAGAGCAAUCACAUACAUCACAAUUACUCGGGGUGCAAAGUCCUGGAAAGCAAAGUACAGCUGCUUAGAUUUUCCCAGUGCUACUGAGAUCUCCUGGGGCUCAGAGGAAGAGGUCCACAGCAAUGGAGCAUAGGGGUGGCCUCAGAGUUCGCUACUUAUGGAACUUGAGCUUUGACACUGGUGACAGUCCCGUGAUUGCCUAACUCCUCUACAAAGUAGUUACAGAGUGUCAUGGAUACAAGAGCUGAGUUAGCAGAGAUAAAGACCGAACAGCUUCCCACAUCCCAGAGAAAUGCCUUGAGCAUUGCUACAUGAAUCUCACUGCUGGUGCGUGGGCCUAAAGGUCUGCCCGACUCUAGUGACAAUCAGCAGGCUGACACAUAUCUGCUCCUGCCCCUGGUUACAAACAGUCCAUGUAAGACAUAGAGACAGCUUCUCUGUCCCUUCUCAAGUAGAUAAGAAUGAUCUUGGCCUUCUCCAACUCUAUAUUCUUCAGGGUUAUCAGUCUCAGAUUUCUAACCAUUCUAGACCAUUUUAACCAUUUCUAACCUUGUCUGUCUUCAGCCAUUCAUUAGGCUUACCCGUCUGGAAAUCUCAUCUUUAGGAGGGAUAUCUCUUCCCAACUUUAAAAGAUGAGAGCUUUUGAGUGAACUUCUUCCAAGGUUCCCCUUUGCUUCCUAACUAGAAUGACCAGUGUUCUUACUAGAAUCAUGUUUUUAAGUACCACUGUCUUUAUAUGCCUGUUCUCUAUCCUAAGUCUUGUGAAUAUAGGAAUAUACAAAAUUUCCUAAAUUCAACUCUAAAGUUCUUGUUCUUUUUAUCACCAUAAGCUGACUGUAAUUUACCACCUCUAAAACUAAUCAUUUUCUGUCAGCUGCCAGUCAGUCUUUUCUAGUUAGAAUUAAAUUAUAGGUAGCAGCUUCUCAUUCUACUGACUUAUUCUUGGGGGCUCAAAAUUACCAGAAAAAUGGUGUCUUCAUAUGCAGCAGGACAGUUAUGUCCUUCCCCACUCAUACCAGCCUUGUUACCUUCCUGAUCUUAGGAAGAGAAUACUGCUCUUCCUUGAUUUACCACACCACUAUCUCGCUCUGUCCCCAAACCACCGUUCUCGUGGCUGCUUUAGCAGGUAUCUUCCUCUGUGCCACAGUGAAAGCCAGCCUGCUGACAGCCUUCCUCUCCCGGUCAGCCACCUCUCCUGGAAGUGACGACAAUCUCCAUUCGCAUCCAGACAAACGGCACCAUGACCAGUGAGACUUGCGCCAGCUCUCUUGGCAUAUUUACUCACAGUAAACCUUUUCAAGUGCUCUCUCUCUAGCACACACUUGGAGCCUUUUUAGAAGCAUUUCUAAAGACACAGAAACUCGUUCUGUGGUGCUCAGGAAGACAGAGCCCUACGCCCUCCUGGAGCUCUUCCCCUCACAUUUCCCAUUUCCACAGGAUCCGAAGCCACGGAAUCAACAGCCCUUCCUCUACUUGUUCAUUUCUUCUUCUCGCUGGGUUGAACAUACUCCUCCAGCUCCAGCGACCAGCGUGAUGCUGCUGUCAGAUAUGCAUCACCCGUCUCCAACUCUAUCCUCAGUUCAAACCCCGUGUCUACUUCUAUUCAUAUCCCUUACACAUCUCUGGCACCACAUGUCCAACCAUAAUUCUUCCUCCAGCAAAAGAAACCGACUGCUCCACCUCUCUAGCCCAUUGUCUAUGCUUCACCACUAGCGCAGCAGGCAGAACUGCAAACUUGGAGUCCUCCCUAGAAUCGACGUGUGUUCUCAUAUACCAAGACAGAAAAAGACUGAUGUUAUUUCAUACAAUGACUCAGCAGAAAUGAGUAGAGUCUAAUGUGGUUUUGAAAGGUAUGCUUAUUUAUAUAGUGGUGAAAACUAUGUUUCACCAUGCAACUAAAAACAUGCUCCCAAAGGAUUCGGAGCUACCCACAUGGCCUCGCUAUACCACGUUACCCAAGAAAUGAAAAUGAAAGACAAAAAAACAAACUCCUGACCACACUCAGCCUACCUGGACAAUAGGAGCACUGAUUCCUCCAUUGAGCCAGACCCAGUGAAGAGUCGGGAUCACUCCAUAGCC
Molecule: non-coding RNA, 3550 nt
Organism: Myodes glareolus (Bank vole)
Lineage: Eukaryota; Metazoa; Chordata; Mammalia; Rodentia; Cricetidae
Source: RefSeq, a predicted model, not a curated record